RNAcentral lists this long non-coding RNA (1974 nucleotides) under Homo sapiens (human). Its description in RNAcentral is "HSALNT0359466". Lineage: Eukaryota; Metazoa; Chordata; Mammalia; Primates; Hominidae. The record is from RNAcentral.
ACUAAUAGUUGGUCUCCUUUUUGUUAUCACAAUACACCUGCUGUUCUAAACAAUGCCAGUAAGAAAAUACUCAUCCAAAAAAAAAAAAAUCCUUGUUUUGCCUGAGUUCUAAAUAAUUACUACAGUUACUAUUAGGUUUUCAUAAUGUACGUGUAAGCUUUAAAUUAGCAAUUUUAAAAUUAUUUAUCUUUUAAUAAACAUUGUAUUCUACAUGGACGUUAACUUGGAGUACUCCGUUCUACAGUUGUACCCAGACACACACAGACCCAACUACCUGUGAUUUUUCUAGGGUAAAAGGGAGCUCCCUGGCUGAAGAGGAUGCGGAGAAUCAGGUGCUGUCCUUCUGACCCCCUUCCCCUCCUCACAGUAACCCUGGCGGCACUGCAUAAACCUAUCUGAAACCAUUGGGAUCCAUUGUCUCUAAGGUCCCAAAUAGCAAUGACCGUCUUUGAUUCUAUGUCUCUGCUAAAGAUUUGCUUCAGACUAAAUAUAUCCCCUUUUCCUCCACACCAGAUGGUUCUAUAUUCCUCCCCAUGUGGAAAGAGUAGGUUUUCAUGCUCCCAUGGAAGAGGGAAGCAGAGACAAGAAAGAAGGCCAUGUCUCUCCUCUCCAUUCUCCUCUUCCUAGGUCAUGUCACAAAGCACAUACGGCGGGUGUUUAAGAAGGGGCUACAAUAUAAGACCUCUCAUUAAUGGCCAAUUUUGGUUACAUCAAAGUACUUAUUAAAGCCUGGAUCACUGGGUCAUUAGAUGUCCAUUAAAUCCCCAUGGCUCUUCAUCAGAGAGGCAGAAGGCCCUGGCCCAAGGCCUCUAACCUGAGCAGAAAGACUUAGUGGGUCUGUAUGCCCAGGGCAGUAGCUCACGGGGGUGGGGUGACAUUUUUAGUGUUUGUCCUGUCCUCUGACCAGCUCUCCCUGCUUCUCCUCCCCAGAGUGGACUAAGGACUAACUAAAGGAAAAAAGAUGUGGCCAAGGUUCUGGUGGAGUAGGUUGUUGGGGAGAAAGGACAGCAUAGGAUUAGAGGCCCAGAGGUUCUGGGACAAUCACUAUAUAACAUGGGCCACAUGUGUAAUUUUAUAUUUUCUAGUUAGCCACAUUAAAAAGGUUAAAAGAAACAGGUAGAAUUCAUUUUAAUGAUACAUUUUAUUAACCCAACAUAUUCAAAAUCUCAUUUCAACAUGUCAUCAGUGUAAAAAAUUAUCGAGAUAUUUUUAUAUUCCUUUUUUCUUCCUACAUCUUUGAAUUCUGUUAUUUCGCACAGCACAUCUCAGUUCAGAUGGGCCACGUUUCCAGUGCUUAAUAUGCACCUGUGGCCAGAGACGAACGCAUUAGGCAGGGCAUGCAGAAGAGCAGAGAAAUGAGGACAGACCCUCCCUAAGCAGUUCCUGCAGGGCGUGGGGAGUGUUGGCGGAGGUUGAAACUUCCUAGCUCAUCAAAUACAACACAAUCCCAAUGGGAGAGAUUGAGGUUGGAUAUAUCUUCCAAAGAAUGCCACUUUCUAAAAAGGAUAGUGUUUCCACUGCAACAGUUUCAGUUCCCUGGAUAGAAUCUUCUGCUCAUGUCCACUUACAAGCAGAUUUUCUUCCAUCUCUGCCACUCCUGAGAUAGCAAGACCAACCCCUCCUCUUCCUCCUCAACCUACUCAAUGUGAAGAUGAUGAGGAUGAAGGCCUUUAUGAUGAUCCACUUCCACUUAAUGAAUAUGAAAAUCAAGAGGCUGGGCCUUGAAGCAUCUCAGCAAGCAUGACGUCCUCUACACCAUACCCUCUGGCCUGGGGUUCAGCAGUCUUCACCAUUCCCAUUCCCUGAACCCCUCAAAAUCAGGAAUACAGGUAGGAACAAAAAGUGGGCAGCCCACAUAGCAGGCAAAGCUAAUGGAACUAGCCUGCCAGGAACGGGGACUGAGAGGAAAACUCUUUACACGUUUCUGUUUUUCUAUCUUUCCUUUUCACGUUUUUUGUUUUGUUUUGUUUUUGU